GCGUGGCCGGCAGAGUUUACUUUGAAAAAAUUAGAGUGCUCAAAGCAGGCUACACUGAUGGCCUGAAUGCCUGUGCAUGGAAUAAUGGAAUAGGACCUCGGUUCUAUUUUGUCGGUUUUCUGAACCCGAGGUAAUGACUAAUAGGAACAGGCGGGGGCAUUCGUAUUGCGACGCUAGAGGUGAAAUUCUUGGACCGUCGCAAGACGAACUACUGCGAAAGCAUUUGCCAAGGAUGUUUUCAUUAAUCAAGAACGAAAGUUAGAGGUUCGAAGGCGAUCAGAUACCGUCCUAGUUCUAACCAUAAACGAUGCUGACCAGCGAUCCGCCGGUGUUAUUCCCAUGACCCGGCGGGCAGCUUCCGGGAAACCAAAGUCUUUGGGUUCCGGGGGAAGUAUGGUUGCAAAGCUGAAACUUAAAGGAAUUGACGGAAGGGCACCACCAGGAGUGGAGCCUGCGGCUUAAUUUGACUCAACACGGGGAACCUCACCAGGCCCAGACACCGGAAGGAUUGACAGAUUGAGAGCUCUUUCUCGAUUCGGUGGGUGGUGGUGCAUGGCCGUUCUUAGUUGGUGGAGCGAUUUGUCUGGUUAAUUCCGAUAACGAACGAGACUCUGGCCUACUAACUAGUCGACGGAUCUCCAGCAAUUGGUGUCCAGUUCGCAGCUUCUUCUUAGAGGGAUAAGCGGCAAUUCUAGCCGCACGAGAUUGAGCAAUAACAGGUCUGUGAUGCCCUUAGAUGUUCUGGGCCGCACGCGCGCUACACUGAAGGGAUCAACGUGUCCUCCCCCUCCGAGAGGAGCGGGUAACCCGUUGAAAUCCUUUCAUGAUAGGGAUUGGGGUUUGCAAUUGUCUCCCAUGAACGAGGAAUUCCCAGUAAGCGCAAGUCAUGAGCUUGCGUUGAUUACGUCCCUGCCCUUUGUAC
This 922-nucleotide ribosomal RNA is filed under the name Scylla paramamosain (green mud crab). Its description in RNAcentral is "SSU rRNA". It matches the Rfam family "Eukaryotic small subunit ribosomal RNA", at positions 736 to 1665 of the family's 1831-position model. The record is from RNAcentral. Lineage: Eukaryota; Metazoa; Arthropoda; Malacostraca; Decapoda; Portunidae.